UGGCCCCACACCACAGUGAGCCACAAUUCCAGAUCCUGAUGAGGCUGGCUGGGCUCCUCAGUUGCUGCUCCUUCCCAUCCCACACGGACCCAGUUCUGAGACGAAACUUCUUUUCAUGAACACAGGGCUCAGCUGGACUGACCGUAUCCAUGAAGUCCUUGGGGAUAAAGAGGUCCCUGCAUGUCCUGGACACACUCAAUGGGACACCUUGCUUGUGAGACAGUAUUGCUGCCUUCAGGAGGGAUCUCCUGAGGGAUUCCUGAAGGAAGUGGGGGGGGGGUGGCAGGGGCUGGACCUUCCUGGUGCUGGAAUCUUCGCCUGGGCAGGAGAAGUCUGUGGGUUAAGGUGUGACAAAGCCUUUCAGCACGCACUUCCUUGGAGGCUGGCGGAAAAUCGGGGCCCACACUUAGUGAGCACACGACCCACAGGGAU
RNAcentral lists this long non-coding RNA (432 nucleotides) under Rattus norvegicus (Norway rat). RNAcentral's name for it is "long non-coding RNA NONRATT025378". The record is from RNAcentral. Lineage: Eukaryota; Metazoa; Chordata; Mammalia; Rodentia; Muridae.